Molecule: ribosomal RNA, 460 nt
Filed under: uncultured Verrucomicrobiota bacterium
Lineage: Bacteria; Pseudomonadati; Verrucomicrobiota
Description: bacterial SSU rRNA
Rfam family: Bacterial small subunit ribosomal RNA
Source: RNAcentral
GGCGGCGUGGAUAAGACAUGCAAGUCGAGCGAGAUUUUUUCCUGUAGCAAUACAGGGAAAAGUCUAGCGGCGAACGGGUGCUUAACACGUGGGCAAUCUGUCUUAAAGUGGGGGAUAGCUCGGCGAAAGCCGAAUUAAUACCGCAUGUGAUUAGAGUGGACAUCCAUUCAAAAUCAAAGCCGGGGCAACCUGGCGCUUUUUGAGGAGCCCGCGGCCUAUCAGCUUGUUGGUGAGGUAACGGCUCACCAAGGCUUUGACGGGUAGCUGGUCUGAGAGGACGACCAGCCACACUGGGACUGAGACACGGCCCAGACACCUACGGGUGGCAGCAGUCGAGAAUUUUUCUCAAUGGGGGAAACCCUGAAGGAGCGACGCCGCGUGGAGGAUGAAAGUCUUCGGAUUGUAAACUCCUGUCAUUGGGGAACAAGGUGCAUACGUUAACUGCGUAUGCAUUGAUAGU